GACGAACGCUGGCGGCUUUCUUAACACAUGCAAGUCGAACGGACAGGCCCUGCUUUUGUGGGGUGCUCGAGUGGCGAACGGGUGCGUAACACGUGAGUAACCUGCCCUUGACUUUGGGAUAACUUCAGGAAACUGGGGCUAAUACCGGCUAGGAGCUCCUGCUUCAUGGCGGGGGUUGGAAAGUUUCGGCGGUUGGGGAUGGACUCGCGGCUUAUCAGCUUGUUGGUGGGGUAGUGGCUGACCAAGGCUUUGACGGGUAUCCGGCCUGAGAGGGUGACCGGCCACAUUGGGACUGAGAUACGGCCCAGACUCCUACGGGAGGCAGAAGUGGGGAAUAUUGCACAAUGGGCGGAAGCCGGAUGCAGCAACGCCGCGUGCGGGAUGACGGCCUGCGGGUUGUAAACCGCUUUCGCCUGGGACGAAGCGUGAGUGACGGUAAUGGGUAAAGAAGCACCGGCUAACUACGGG
This 468-nucleotide ribosomal RNA is filed under the name uncultured bacterium. Its description in RNAcentral is "partial 16S ribosomal RNA". It matches the Rfam family "Bacterial small subunit ribosomal RNA", at positions 28 to 507 of the family's 1533-position model. The record is from RNAcentral.